UACGGAGGGUGCAAGCGUUGUUCGGAAUCACUGGGCGUAAAGCGCGUGUAGGCGGCCUCCUCAGUCUGGUGUGAAAGCCCGGGGCUCAACCCCGGAAGUGCAUUGGAUACUGGGAGGCUGGAGUACCGGAGAGGAGGGUGGAAUUCCUGGUGUAGCGGUGAAAUGCGCAGAUAUCAGGAAGAACACCAAUGGCGAAGGCAGCUCUCUGGGACGGUACUGACGCUGAGACGCGAAAGCGUGGGGAGCAAACAGG
This 253-nucleotide ribosomal RNA is filed under the name uncultured bacterium. Its description in RNAcentral is "partial 16S ribosomal RNA". It matches the Rfam family "Bacterial small subunit ribosomal RNA", at positions 524 to 776 of the family's 1533-position model. The record is from RNAcentral.